RNAcentral lists this long non-coding RNA (547 nucleotides) under Equus caballus (horse). RNAcentral's name for it is "lncRNA (ENSECAG00000054728.1)". The record is from RNAcentral. Lineage: Eukaryota; Metazoa; Chordata; Mammalia; Perissodactyla; Equidae.
GUUGAUGAAGCUUCUCUGGCAUCCAGGAGGAUAAAAAGGACAGAGCAAAGGAAUUCAACCUGGCUGACUUCAAGAGACUAAAGAAAAUUUAAGACUCAAGAGUCUCCACAUGAUUGAGAAGUCAGAGAGGUGUAUGGGGAAGUCCUCUUGCCUGGAAGCCAGAUAACCUGGAUUCACUUCCAAGUUUACCCCUGACUUCCUUGUGAAGACAUGGCGAGAAGUUGGUCAUCUACCAGCCAGGAAGAGAGCCCUCACCAAGAACCCAAGCAUGCUGGUACCCUAAUCUCAGCCUUCCAGCCUCCAGAACUAUUUUUUUCCACCACUUUGGCAGGAGUGAGAUAUCCGGCAAAGAGGGGGCCCAGCAAGGGAAGUGGGCUCCUUGUGCCUGAUAGCACUCCCCAUGGGGAAGGUCAAGGAGACCUUCAUUUCACUUCAUUUCAGCCAUCUGCAGUCUACAUCCAACCUCACAUUUCCUGUCUCCGAAGAGUCUCACCAGAUCCUAAGUUGGCCAGGCCUCGAGAAAACUGAGAAACCACACUGUCUUGGU